UUAGGAACGUGUCAAGGAGAGCUCAAGCAUAGGAGGAUAACGGGUCAAGAUAAGGCAAGGUGACAAAUACACUUAUUGGAAUACUCAAGGUAAGUGAUUUCUAUAAUCACUUCUUUAGUUGUUUAAGUAAUAUAAUGUUUUAAUUAUUAAGUUCAUAUAAAGUUGAGGUUAAAUCAAUGGAUUAUUUUGAUAAAUGCACGAAUGGGUCGAAUAAUUCAUAGAUGAAUAACAAGCCGAAUACGUAUAAGUUAAGAAAUUCCUUAACUCGGAUGUUGGACUUCAAGAUCACGUGAUAGAAUAUUAUAUUACAAUCAUAUAGGAAGAAACGUGACGCAAAACGGACGAAAAAUGAGAGAGUUAUGUCCGUCUCAGUAAGGAUUAAUGGCUAGGAAAAGUGCAGAGUUGACACAGCCGGGUGGUGAACUGACACGGCCGGGUGAAGGUUCUGUCAAAAAUAUUAUUUAUGUGAUUUAUGUGCCGUAGGCUUCGGUAUAUUAUCCGUGAACUACGACGGGCCUCCCAAACAUGAUUUCGAGUGUUUCCUUGACGAUUAUAAGUUGUAAACCCAAGUCUAAGCCUCAUGUAAUUUAUAUAAGAGUGUGAUAGAUGUAUGUAAUGAAGUUGGACAUGUAUUACAUGUAAAUGUAUACAAAAAUACGUACGGAACACGUAGGUAUGAAUACAUGAUUGUAGGUAUGAUUAAAUGUAUAUUAGGUAUGUAGAUGUGUAUGAUUGUAAGUUUGUAUGUGUGCAAGUAUGUGCGAAUGCAUGAUUUGGAUGCAUUUGAGAAUUAGCGUUACUAAUAAUGCCCUUGGGUUUGGAAUAUAAGUUGAUUGGAUGCAUUUAAAUGGUUAACGUCCUUUUUAUGAAGAUGUAGUAAAUGAAUAUGUUGAGAUUACGGGUUUGGCUAACCAAGUUAUUAUUGAGUAUGUUUGAAAGUGCAGGUUAUGAAUGUCGGACUUUCGAAGUGUUGAUAUAAUAAUGAAACAGUUGAAUGUUGAAAGGAUAAUCGGAUUGAAGUAACUUAUGCGGUUAGAAUAUGCUAUGGACGUUUUAGUUUAUACAAUAUUAUAUGUUUGGUCGUCACCAUCUACUAACAGGUAAUUCCUCAAUUUUGGCGACUUGGAGAAUCGGAGCGAGCGCGUGUUCGUGUUAUGCGAUAUCAAACGCUUCCGCUAGCUUGUUCAAAUGUUUUUGAUCCAAAAUUUGUUGUAUUGGUAUUUAGUAGUAUCUUGUUGAACGAAUUGUAGAAUUGUAUCUAGUUUGUUUAUGUUUAAAACAGGGGUAUGCUCGUUUUAUGGACGGGUCAUGCCCGAUUUUUUGUUAAAUUAUAGUUUGAUAAUAUCACAUUUAGGAAGGUGAAA
Molecule: long non-coding RNA, 1364 nt
Organism: Helianthus annuus (common sunflower)
Lineage: Eukaryota; Viridiplantae; Streptophyta; Magnoliopsida; Asterales; Asteraceae
Exons: 2
Source: RefSeq, a predicted model, not a curated record